Molecule: non-coding RNA, 48 nt
Filed under: Schistosoma margrebowiei
Lineage: Eukaryota; Metazoa; Platyhelminthes; Trematoda; Strigeidida; Schistosomatidae
Source: RNAcentral
AUCCAGCUGACGACUCCUAAAUAGGACGAAACGCACGUCAAACAGGAU